This 704-nucleotide ribosomal RNA is filed under the name Faecalibacterium prausnitzii. RNAcentral describes it as "bacterial SSU rRNA". It matches the Rfam family "Bacterial small subunit ribosomal RNA", at positions 431 to 1162 of the family's 1533-position model. Lineage: Bacteria; Bacillati; Bacillota; Clostridia; Eubacteriales; Oscillospiraceae. The record is from RNAcentral.
CUCCUGUGUUGAGGAAGAUAAUGACGGUACUCAACAAGGAAGUGACGGCUAACUACGUGCCAGCAGCCGCGGUAAAACGUAGGUCACAAGCGUUGUCCGGAAUUACUGGGUGUAAAGGGAGCGCAGGCGGGAAGACAAGUUGGAAGUGAAAUCCAUGGGCUCAACCCAUGAACUGCUUUCAAAACUGUUUUUCUUGAGUAGUGCAGAGGUAGGCGGAAUUCCCGGUGUAGCGGUGGAAUGCGUAGAUAUCGGGAGGAACACCAGUGGCGAAGGCGGCCUACUGGGCACCAACUGACGCUGAGGCUCGAAAGUGUGGGUAGCAAACAGGAUUAGAUACCCUGGUAGUCCACACUGUAAACGAUGAUUACUAGGUGUUGGAGGAUUGACCCCUUCAGUGCCGCAGUUAACACAAUAAGUAAUCCACCUGGGGAGUACGACCGCAAGGUUGAAACUCAAAGGAAUUGACGGGGGCCCGCACAAGCAGUGGAGUAUGUGGUUUAAUUCGACGCAACGCGAAGAACCUUACCAAGUCUUGACAUCCUGCGACGGUGCUGGAAACAGUACUUUCCUUCGGGACGCAGAGACAGGUGGUGCAUGGUUGUCGUCAGCUCGUGUCGUGAGAUGUUGGGUUAAGUCCCGCAACGAGCGCAACCCUUAUGGUCAGUUACUACGCAAGAGGACUCUGGCCAGACUGCGUUGACAAA